UCCUACGGGGGCAGCAGUAGGGAAUUUUCGUCAAUGGGCGCAAGCCUGAACGAGCAAUGCCGCGUGAACGAGGAAGGUCUUCGGAUCGUAAAGUUCUGUUGAAGGGGAAAAAGAGCGGAGAGAGGAAAUGGUCUCCGAUUGAUAUUACCCUUCGAGGAAGUCACGGCUAACUACGUGCCAGCAGCCGCGGUAAUACGUAGGUGGCGAGCGUUAUCCGGAAUGAUUGGGCGUAAAGGGUGCGUAGGCGGCCUGCUAAGUCUGGAGUGGAAGGUACCGGCUCAACCGGUACAGGCUCUGGAAACUGG
This 305-nucleotide ribosomal RNA is filed under the name uncultured bacterium. Its description in RNAcentral is "bacterial SSU rRNA". It matches the Rfam family "Bacterial small subunit ribosomal RNA", at positions 337 to 636 of the family's 1533-position model. The record is from RNAcentral.